GAAAGAGUGGGAGAAAACUGGGACAUUGUAAAAGCAGCUGAAAAGUGGAAGACAGUAUCUAUUGGAAAACAUGCUUCUCAGUCCUUAUUGAUCAAGUCAAGCGACCGGUCAGAUGCGUCUGCGGUGCAGCCCCAGAGAGAAGGCCACACAAACCCACAGCCUUUUCCUCCCCACAACAACCCAUUUCCUCCAAGCAUUUGGGACGUUUUGAAGGACGGAGGUUUGGUCUGCCCCAGACGCUGUCUGAGCCCCGUCUGCCCACAGAUGCCGCUUAAUCCCUGCCCUCCAUCGCCUGAUGCGCCGCCCGCACCCGCACGGAUGGGCCCAGCCAGCAGCCGGUGCCGUGUCGAAUGGCAAUUCCCAUCAUGGGAAGAUUGUGGAAAUGUUUCUUUGCAGCCUCAGAAGCAGGAGGGCAUCUCCACCCAACCACCACCACCACCACCAAAAAAAGAAAAGUAAAGCCUGCCUAAUGAAGAAUGGAAAAUAUGUUGAUUUAACUCCAGAAAAAUGUUCAGUAGACAUUCAGAAAAGAAAGAAAGGGGGGAAAGAAAAGAUGCAGACAGGCCCCUAAGCAGCAGCUCCUCCUCCUCCUCCUCCUCCUGCUGCCGCCGCCGGCCGUAUCUAAUUUCAUUAGUAAGCUGUAAAUGGCAAAAUGAUGAAGAGAUAAAGUUUCAAAGGGCCAAGGGCCCUCGCAUUCUCUGUAACAUUAAUCAUAUGCUUUUAAUUUUUACAGACUGCAUGGUUCUCAGCUGCUUUCAGUCUCCUCGCCUUGGGCUUUUAUGGCUCUUAGGAGCCAGGCAAAAGCCAUAGGUCUGAAAGGGCCAGGGCAUCCCUGGCCAUCCCAAGGGGCAGUGGAUGGAGACCCCCUUCCUUUGGGGCCAGGAAAGAAGCCCCCCAGUGGGGCUGGACAAGUGGGCAACAGCCAAACUUUUACGGCCUUCAUGGUUGGCUCCCUUUGGAGAGCCAGGCUGCCUCUUCCUUGGCUUUUUCUGGGUUUUGGCCCAUCUAAUGCCAUCAUGGUGCAAUAGUUUGAGCAUUGGCUAUGACUCUGGAGGCUAGGAUUCGAACCCCUGCUCAGCCAUGGAAAUUCACUGGAUGACCCUGGGCAUGUCCUACUCUCUCAAUGGCAAAAGCCCCUCUGGAUAAAUUUUGCCAAGAAAAUCUGGUGACAGGGUUGCCUUAGGAUUGCUGAAAGUUGGAAAUGACCUGAAGGUAUGCAAGUUGUGGAUAUAUCUCAGAGGAAUGUAGAAUUGAGGAACACUUUUCUCUUCUUUGCUGCUAGCAAAAUAUUUCUUCCCAUGGCCAUCAGGAAGGUGUAUGUUUCUAGGCCAACAAUCCCCAAACUUGGUCUUUCAGGUGUUUUGGACUUCAGCUCCCAGAAGCCCUAGCCAGCUUGGUCAGCAAUCAGGAAUUCUGGGAGCUGAAGUCCAAAACAUCUGGAGGACCAAUGUUUGGGAAACCCUGUUCUAGGCCAUUUUGAUAUUUCUUUGACCAUAAACACCCUUUGCUUCAUAGGUGGAAGUGGACUUUACAUCUGUGGCGGCCUUUCAGCAGCGGUGGGAUGAUCAUCUUGAUAGACUUGCCUGAGGGUCGCCAUACAUUGGAAAUAACUGGAAGGCACUCACUGCCAACUAAAUACCCUUCCCCCCUGAAUGCCCCCUUUCCCCUUCCUUCCUUCCUUCCUUCCUUCCUUCCUGCCUUCCUUCCUGGCCAAAGAAAAUGAAGGGCCUGGGCUGCUGCUGCGGCAAUUAAGCUCCCAGGAAACGGCCUCAUUAGGCUAAUCACCAGUAAAUAAAGCAGUCAAGGGCAUCCAUUGCUUUCAGUUAAUCAGGCAAAGCCAAGGGAGAUGAAUGCCCCCCCCCCCCCCCGUUGCCCGGAUGCAUUUCCCUCCUUGCUCCUCAUGCAAGGGAAUCCAUGCCAAUCCUGCCCAAGGUCUGGGUAGGUCUUGCAACCUGUUGCAUCUGGGGUUCCUUCAUCCCUGAAUAUGCUUUGCAAGGAACCCUCUUUUGCCUUACAUUGCCUUGCGUGGGCGGCCAAUUUGCUUCCAGGCAGAAUCCAAGGGGUUGGUGAUGAUGUUCAGAGCCCUCCAUGGCUUGGGACCUUCAUGCCCAAAGAUGCUCUAUUUAUAAAUUAUGAAUUUAUGAAUUUCUCCUAUAUUUGCUUGUCCAGGAACUGAGAUAUGGACUAGCGGGAACAAUACAUCAACUGGGACCAUGUUAAGUGCAGUCAGCCCUCCGUAUCCACGGAUUCCUCAUCCAUGGAUUCAAUCAUCCAUGGUUUGAAAU
Sceloporus undulatus (fence lizard) is the source of this 2285-nucleotide RNA transcript. It is a transcript of the gene named formin-1-like, with no coding region annotated. The transcript has 3 exons. The record is from RefSeq and is a predicted model, not a curated record. Lineage: Eukaryota; Metazoa; Chordata; Lepidosauria; Squamata; Phrynosomatidae.